This 518-nucleotide ribosomal RNA is filed under the name uncultured eukaryote. Its description in RNAcentral is "bacterial SSU rRNA". It matches the Rfam family "Eukaryotic small subunit ribosomal RNA", at positions 16 to 549 of the family's 1831-position model. The record is from RNAcentral.
UCCAGUAGUCAUAUGCUUGUUUCAAAGAUUAAACCAUGCAUGUUUAAGUAUAAACCUUUGUUCGGCGAAAAUGCGAAUGGCUCAUUAAAACAGUUAUAGUUUAUUUGAUAAUCAAUUACUACAUGGAUAACUGUAGUAAUUUUAGAGCUAAUACAUGCGUCAGAACCCGACUAUUUUGGAAGGGUUGUGUUUAUUAGAUACAAAACCAGCAUUUUUGUUGGUGAUUUAUAAUAACCAAACGAAUUGGCAGUUUUCUGUUGAUAGAUCAUUCAAGUUUUUGACCUAUCAGCUUUUGACGGUAGGGUAUUGGCCUUCCGUGGGUAUGACGGGUAACGGAGAAUUAGGGUUUGAUUUCGGAGAGGGAGCCUGAGAAACGGCUUCCACAUUUAAGGAUGGCAGCAGGCGCGCAAAUUACCCAAUCCUGACACAGGGAGGUAGUGACAAGAUAUAACAAUACAGGGCAUAACUGUUUUGUAAUUGGAAUGAAGGGAUUUUAAAUCCCUUUGCGAGUACCAAUU